AACGAACGCUGGCGGUAUGCUUAACACAUGCAAGUCGAACGGGUGUAGCAAUACAUCAGUGGCAAACGGGUGAGUAAUACAGAGGAAUCUACCUAGCAGUAAGGAAUAACUCUGAGAAAUCGGAGCUAAUACCAUAUAUUACCCUUCGGGGGAAAGAUUUAUCGCUGUUAGAUGAGCCUCUGCCGGAUUAGCUAGUUGGUAGGGUAAUGGCCUACCAAGGCAAUGAUCCGUAGCUGGUCUGAGAGGAUGAUCAGCCACACUGGAACUGAGACACGGUCCAGACUCCUACGGGAGGCAGCAGUGGGGAAUAUUGGACAAUGGGCGCAAGCCUGAUCCAGCAAUACCGCGUGAGUGAUGAAGGUCUUCGGAUUGUAAAGCUCUUUUAGUAGAGAAGAUAAUGACGGUAUCUACAGAAAAAGCACCGGCAAACUUCGUGCCAGCAGCCGCCGUAA
This 452-nucleotide ribosomal RNA is filed under the name uncultured bacterium. RNAcentral describes it as "partial 16S ribosomal RNA". It matches the Rfam family "Bacterial small subunit ribosomal RNA", at positions 29 to 523 of the family's 1533-position model. The record is from RNAcentral.